AACGAACGUUAGCGGCGCGCCUAACACAUGCAAGUCGAGCGAGAAGGGAGCAAUCCCAGUAAAGCGGCGCACGGGUGAGUAACACGUAGGUAAUCUACCUCGAGGUGGUGGAUAACCUUCCGAAAGGAGGGCUAAUACAGCAUGAGACCACGUCUUCGCAAGAGGAUGAGGUUAAAGCGGGUCACUACAAGUAAACUCGCGCCACGAGAUGAGCCUGCGGCCCAUCAUGGUAGUUGGUAGGGUAACGGGCCUACCAAGCCGAAGACGGGUAGCUGGUCUGAGAGGAUGAUCAGCCACACUGGAACUGAGACACGGUCCAGACUCCUACGGGAGGCAGCAGUGGGGAUCUUGCGCAAUGGGCGAAAGGCCUGACGCAGCGACGCCGCGUGAGUGAUGAAGGCCUCGGGUU
This 409-nucleotide ribosomal RNA is filed under the name uncultured bacterium. RNAcentral's name for it is "bacterial SSU rRNA". It matches the Rfam family "Bacterial small subunit ribosomal RNA", at positions 29 to 424 of the family's 1533-position model. The record is from RNAcentral.